RNAcentral lists this ribosomal RNA (492 nucleotides) under uncultured bacterium. Its description in RNAcentral is "partial 16S ribosomal RNA". It matches the Rfam family "Bacterial small subunit ribosomal RNA", at positions 29 to 507 of the family's 1533-position model. The record is from RNAcentral.
AGUGAACGCUGGCGGUAGGCCUAACACAUGCAAGUCGAACGGCAGCACAGUAAGAGCUUGCUCUUACGGGUGGCGAGUGGCGGACGGGUGAGGAAUACAUCGGAAUCUACUUUUUCGUGGGGGUUAACGUAGGGAUACUUACGCUAAUACCGCAUACGACCUACGGGUGAAAGCAGGGGAUCUUCGCACCUUCCGCGAUUCAAUGAGCCGAUGUCGUAUUAGCAAGUUGUCGGGGUAAAGGCCCACCACGGCGACGAUCUGUAGCUGGUCUGAGAGGAUGACCAGCCAAACUGGAACUGGGACACGGUCCAGACUCCUACGGGAGGCAGCAGUGGGGAAUAUUGGACAAUGGGCGAAAGCCGGAUCCAGCCAUACCGCGUGGGUGAAGAAGGCCUUCGGGUUGUAAAGCCCGUUUGUUGGGAAAGGAAAGCAGCAGGUUAAAACCCCGCUGUUCUGACGGUACCCAAAGAAUAAGCACCGGCUAACUUCGUG